AGGGCAGGGAGGCACUACACACUGCCUAAGAUUCCCUCCAUGCCUCCCAGCUCCCCCUCUCUAGGAACCCGAAAGCUCUCAGGAUUGUUAAAGAACGGUGUGGUGUGUAAUUAACAUUCCAGGCUGGUGGGUGUGCAGCCUCAGCAUCAAAAGUCUGUUUGGAAGUGGAGGACUCUGGGCGGCUGUCCCUGGCACAGUUUGCUGAUCGUGUCGGCUGGACCCUUUUCAUGCCGUAUAUACCUUCUGCACUCUGAUUCCACAUGCUCUUCACCUGCUUCCCUGACUUUGAAGUAUUUAAAGCAGCUUUGGAAUUCCUUACCAGGAGACUUCUCACGUUCUUUUCUUGGACAUUCGACUUCAAGUUUGCCUCUGGCCUUUACCCGUGAGAAAUAAUUAAUGAUAAAAUGUAAACACAUGAAUAGAUGA
Molecule: long non-coding RNA, 426 nt
Organism: Felis catus (domestic cat)
Lineage: Eukaryota; Metazoa; Chordata; Mammalia; Carnivora; Felidae
Exons: 2
Source: RefSeq, a predicted model, not a curated record